This 347-nucleotide unclassified non-coding RNA is filed under the name Zea mays. RNAcentral describes it as "misc RNA Zm00001eb330050". The record is from RNAcentral. Lineage: Eukaryota; Viridiplantae; Streptophyta; Magnoliopsida; Poales; Poaceae.
ACAACAGUUAUUACAAUUGUUCGGUGCAAGCAGAAUGUCACAGUUUCAUCCCAGGCGUUGAAGCGCACAUCCUUAACCUCCUCAGGCUUCAGACCACCCUCCACCACAAGACCAAGAAGGAAAACAGCAAAAUAGCCGCAAAGAUGGAAGAAAAGGGGAAACUAGAAAGAACAAACAACAGAUUUUGGGAAAGCCUACGCAGUUUUACUCUGUUGUCUCCCAUAUUCUCUCUACAUAGCCAGCUCCCUAAUCCUCACUCCCCGCCCCUAACUGCACUGGCCUCUAAGAUCUAUAGAAUGGACCAAAUAAACGAGAUUGUCUCUAACGGUUAUUACAAUACAUGAUGC